CAUCGAAGCAGACUCUGUUUCGUGGUUUCACCGUUCCCUCGCCGUCGCCCUGUACUUGCGCCACCGCAACUCCCCGACAGAUCUGCCAUACGCCACCGGCCGCGGCAAGCCCUCCUCCCUUUCAACCCCAAUCGCUCAAACUCGGCCGCCACAGGAGCUUUUCCUUCAUGCGCUCACCACCCCUUGCUCGUGGUCGCCGCCACCGCUUCUUGGCAUCUCCGGCCGUACGCGCAUCAGGCCAAUCCGCCCCGGAGGCCAUCGCUGCUGCAAGUGCUAGCAGCCGGAUGACAUACCAGUGCAGCUCGACCGCUGUGGACAAAGCAUCCUCAACCUCACGCACUAACAUCUUAGAUAUUGAAGAGCGCCUUGGCAGAGUCAAGUGUGGACAGUUAUCUAGGAAGAAAGUGAAUGGAGUUCAAGUAACCAUACAGCAGGAUCCAUUGGAAUGCCAGUACGGGCCCCUUUUCAAGAUAUUACAAAUGUGGUUGACUCACAUAGUUUAUCAAAAGGGAAACAAGCACAAAAAGUUCUUGGUUCAGUGGAUCAUCCAAUUACUGGGACAAAACGAUCGAUCAAUCCAUCUGGCAUAUCCAUACAGUCAAAUACUCCUUCGACUGGACACGUAAGUCUACCAACAGAAGCUUCCGAGCAUAAGCGUUAUCAUGACCGGGAAAGAUACUUGGAGAUGACUCUAGAACAGCGCACUGCCUACCUGGAAAGAAACCGUGAGUACAAACGGAGAAGGAAAAAUCCUGCUGCAGUUAGUGAUAAUGCACAAUCUGGGAGUCAAACUUGUACUUCUACCACCAGUUCAAUUACAGAAGGUUGAUAAUAAAUUGCCCUGUGAUCUUGCUUCGGAAUUUAGAUCCUCAUCAUGGAUUAUGCAAUGGCACAAGGCUUAUUAUUAAGGCAUUUCAAGAUAAUACUAGCGAUGCUGAAAUUAUUGGAGGACAACAUGCUGGAAAGCGAGUAUUCCUUCCAAGAAUUCCUUUGUAUCCUUCUGAAGAUGAUGUGCUUCCCUUCAAGUUCAAGAGAAAGCAAUUUCCAAUUCGUCUUAGCUUUGCAAUGACAAUCAAUAAAGCUCAAGGUCAAACAAUUCCGCAUGUUGGUAUCUACCUUCCAGAACCCGUGUUCUCUCACGGUCAACUAUAUGAUGCAUUGUCCCGAGGAAUAUCAAGGCAAAGAACAAGAAUACUUGCCAAGCCAAACAGGGAUAUCGACCCAUCAGGAAAAAGUACCAAAAAUAUUGUCUAUAAGGAGGUUUUGGCACGAUAAAUGUACAUAAUGCAGAACUGUCUUUGUUUCACAUAUAUAUGAGCAUGCUUUACUUUGUCUCAUAAUAUUGGUACGUUGACAAUUGUUGAGAUUUUUUUUAUAAAUAUACGCAUAUAUUAGAAUCUUGAUUAACAUAGGCCUUAUAUUCUAAUCUGUUCUACAGAUACAUGGAUACAUAAUGUUUUCUGUUCAGAGAGAGCACGAAUGGAGUAUUGUGCUACUAUUGUCAAUUUUUUUGUUUGCUGUAGUUCUAAGUUUGUGUCCAGAAGAUCAUCGACUAGAUCAGGAUCCUUGUUUCAUUUAUAAUACACCGAAUCAUUUUUUAUGUGCAAACCAUGAAUUUGCUUUAGUAAGCUGAAAUUUGGACAUUUACGUUUUUUGAUUAUGCCAGCCUUAGAUUGCACAGAACCAUGUUCGACAUUGCAGACUGGUUUUAUACCAUAUAGAAGGUGUUGUUUUUAUCUUGUCAUUGAACACCUCUUCGCACUUUUUUUUUUGGUCUCAAUACUUAACUUGAUACACUCUUAUGUUGGCAGGGUCAAUUGGAAUCAUAUGCCUUUAUGGAUCAUGAACUUGAAGUGAAGGCUUGUGCUGAGCUCUAAGCAUCCAUGCUUCAGGCAACAUUAGUAUUAGAUGCCAGCUUCAUUUUGGCAUGAGCUACACUCUUUAGUUGUGGAUUUGAAAAAUAUUAGUAAAAGAAGUUUAUGUAUCUAUAUGUAUUGUUGUACGUGACAUAGCUGUGUAUAAACAAUACGUGAAAUCAACCCUGAAAACAAACUCAGCUCGCAAAUAGCAAUAAUUGUAUG
Molecule: long non-coding RNA, 2081 nt
Organism: Triticum dicoccoides
Lineage: Eukaryota; Viridiplantae; Streptophyta; Magnoliopsida; Poales; Poaceae
Exons: 4
Source: RefSeq, a predicted model, not a curated record